RNAcentral lists this ribosomal RNA (254 nucleotides) under uncultured bacterium. Its description in RNAcentral is "partial 16S ribosomal RNA". It matches the Rfam family "Bacterial small subunit ribosomal RNA", at positions 1247 to 1500 of the family's 1533-position model. The record is from RNAcentral.
AAGCCAUAUGGCGACAUAGAGCGGAACCCGAAAACCUGUCUCAGUUCGGAUUGGAGUCUGCAACCCGACUCCAUGAAGCUGGAUUCGCUAGUAAUCGCGCAUCAGCCACGGCGCGGUGAAUACGUUCCCGGGCCUUGUACACACCGCCCGUCACACCAUGGAAGUUGGUAACACCCGAAGCCUGUAGCCUAACCGCAAGGAGGGCGCAGUCGAAGGUGGGAUUAAUGACUGGGGUGAAGUCGUAACAAGGUACC